AGAGAGGAUCACAGGGCCAAUUUCUCAUGCCUCGCGGAGCUUGACCUGCGGCCACACGGCUUGGGACUGUUUGCAAACAGCUCAGCCCCCAGACAGCUCCGCACGUUUGCCAUGCCUCCACUUUCCCCGAGCCUUAUUGCCCCACGAUUCUUAGAAGUGGGCUCAGAAAGGCCGGUGACUUGCACUUUGGAUGGACUGUUUCCUGCCCCAGAAGCCGGGGUUUACCU
Molecule: long non-coding RNA, 227 nt
Filed under: Rattus norvegicus (Norway rat)
Lineage: Eukaryota; Metazoa; Chordata; Mammalia; Rodentia; Muridae
Description: long non-coding RNA NONRATT027485
Source: RNAcentral